GAAAAAGGCUUGGUUUGAUUAUUAGUCUCCUGGAAAACAGGCACAUGAAGGUUAAGAAUUUUCUAUACUGCCUAAACGGUAUGAAAAAUUAACAAAAUCUUGAAUGUACUACAAAGCCUUGUUCACAAUCACCUAUGGGAAUACAAUAAAACGAUUUCAGCAAUACAAGUCUUCCUAUCAUAAAAUUUCAAAUUCUGAUGUUGGUCCAUUUUCUGAUGCCGGACUUUACACUUCAACAAUGGAAUCUAUGCGUGGCUCCAAUCUUGUGAUCAAAUCAAAACUAAAGGGGAAUGGAAAACCAAAAAAAAAAGCCUAAUUAACAUAGUACAACAGCUAACCAGGAGAUAACAAUUACUGAGCAUUGCAAUUAGCAACCAGAACAAAAAGAAUAACUAAUCUCACCCACAACACAGCCUUGAUAAUGAAGGGGCUAUGACACAAAUCAUGCUUAAGCAAUGGCAUAUGUGAUGGUCUCUGACUCUUCGGGUCGCCAAAUGGAUUUCUCAACAUAAAGCAAUCCCUCCUUGUCUUUCGAGUAGGUCAUUCGGACCUCCCAAUGCAUAGACCUCACUAUGUUCUCCAGCUCACUAACAGUCUCAACAUUGUCACGGACAAUUAGCUUUCCUUCUGGCCGAAGUAUCCGAUCAACCUCCACAACUACAGCCACUAGAUUGCACCUCUUUUUAACCUUUGAGAAGAGAUGAUCUGCAUGAAGAAGAUCAUAAGAUCUAGGGUAGGUGCUAAAUGAUUCACACCAGUCAUGAUAAAUGCCAAAAAGACCACGUUCAUAAAUUAUAGGUAGAGUAUCUGGGGAGUCUAUUGGGACUACAUUCAUGACCCACACCUUUAUAUCCUUCAGAGCUGCAGCAAAACCUCCAUAGAUAGUUCUCAUGUCCAUGACGUUUCUCACAGAUGACCAUUUUAUUCCCAUUCCAUUUAGAUAUGACUUAGAUACCACCCGCUUCCAGUGCUCAUAGUCAGCAGUGAAAUCCUCUGGUUCUGGUUUACCAUAAACUCCAACUUUGGAACUCAACAUCCAAUAAGGUACUUUCUCCAACCUCGCUGGCCAUUGCUCUGGCCAUUGAGAUCCACGUUCUACUGAAUCUACUGGAACCUUGUGCAUACAUGCUUGCAGUGGCACGUUCCAGGCUGCAUUAGGAUCAUCAGAUGCUUCACACAGUGGAGGCUCUUGUUGUGAUCUUUUCUCAUAACAGUCAUUGGAAGUAGGCUUCCUGUAUAUAGCUAUACCCACACCAUUUACUGUAUCCUUGGUAAUGGACACAAGUUCCCAGCACAUAGCUUUGGUUAGUUCAGUCAUAGCUUUCCAAAUUUGAACAUCUUCAGCAACCUUCUUCUGAUAAACAGGAGUGGCAGACCACACAAAGAAACCACCAGGUCGCAACACACGAUUCAACUCCAAAAGAAGUUUACCACCUUCAAUAUGCCAUGGGACUCUGCAUCGAGCACAGUGGACAAUAUCAAAGACUCUGCCUGGAAAAGGAAGUCUCUGUGUUCCCAUCACAGCAGAUAUAGCAGGGAUUCCUCUUUCAAGAGCAAAUUGCACUUGAGCCUCAUGUUCAUCUUUAGGGGCAAACGACAUCGUGACAACAUCCCUAUCAAAUAGAAAGCCUCCAAAGCUAGCAACACCACAACCAACAUCCAAUAUCACACGGGAGCGUUUUCCCCAUGCAAUAUCAGGCACAGACUCAUUUAUGAAGUCAAUGUAAUGUAAAGCACCAUGCUUAAACUGAGUUCCACCACCAGGGAAAGUGAGGUAUUCGCCAGUAACUUUCACCCAGUUUUGAUGCCCUUUAACUUCUGCAAGUUUGGUGUGCGGAACAUUACUGUACCAUAUCUUUUCCCUGCUUUUGGGCCACUCAAUUGGGCGUUUAUAUCCUUCAGGAAGUGGAACAAGACAAGUUGGAGGUUCUUGAGGACAGUGCCUUUCUCGAUGUUCAUAGUGCUUGGUACUUCGAAGACUCCUAAUUGCUUGCCAAUUGUCAAGACAUGGGAUGUAAUCAGGCCCAGCAGUGACAUUGCAAGUUUUCCAAUUGUACGAGUUUUGUUGAUUAGAAGCUAAUUGAGUUUCUUUCUCAUUUCUUGACUCUGAUGCCUGAGUUGACCAUGACCCAGUCUGAGUGGCAGUUUCAUUCAAAAGCUCUGACUGAGCCCCUGAAGGAAAUACCUCAACUCCACUCUGGUUGUUGGCCUGCUCAUCAGAGGUUUUCUCUGACUCCUUGUUAUUUUUUAGAUCCACCUUCUCUUCUAUCUGCCCAUUCCCUGUUUUCCCAUCCUUCGUAUCACCAGAAUUCUCAUCUGACUUUGUCUUGGUGUCAUCUGCAUCAGAUUUCUUCUCUGUUACACCAGAGUUCUCAUCCGAUUUUGUCUCAGUCUCAUCAGUGCCUGGAUUCUUUUCAGUCUCGUCUGAUUCAGAUUUGUUCUCUUUUGAGUUCUCCUCAGAAUCACCUUGUCCAGUGCCACUAUUUUCACCCUCAUUAGUUUUUGUCUCUCCAGCUUCUGAGUUUUUUUCCCCAUCUAGCGUCUUAGAAUCCCCAUUUUCUGUAUUACUUUCUUCAUUUUGCUUCUCAUUAUUUGAGCCAUCAUUAGACUUAAUUACUUCAUCUUGCUUUUCCUCAGAUUUCUCUUCUUGCUUCUCUUCCACCUUCACCUCUUGAGUUUCUUGCGUAUUAGACUUGUCUUCUCCCUGAGGUUGACUUCUAUUGUUGUCCCCUUUAGUUGCAUCCUCAGGUAAAUCACCAGGGCUAUCCUCAAAUUGCUUAGGGUUGCUUUCGUUGCUCUCAGCCAGUGGUUCCUUGAUCUCAUUCUUGUUCUCCUGAGCAGGCACAUCCACAUUUUGACCAGGAACUACAGAUGAAGAUGUCAUCAUCCAUACCCCAACCAAGCAGAGAGCCACAAAGACCACAAUCGUCACCGUUGAGCAGUAAUUUGUUGAUUGCCUUCUAGUGUCUAUCCUAGUAUAUUUUCCUAAAGCCAUUGUUUUUUUUUUCUUUUUUCCUUUUACUUUCUUCAAUCAAUUCUUGAAAAUCUAACCUGCAGAUCAAAGUCAACUUAGAUGAAUCUUGCAAACCAACACCCAGUAUUGAGAUAUCCAAUAAAAUUACAACUACAUUACAGUGACACUAAUGCAAAGAAAUGCACCUCUUUACUUUCACAGGACUUGGGGUGUCUUACAUGCCAUAUGCAGAACAAUUUUACGUGUGCUGCUUUCUACAGCAUGGAAAUACCCUUGCAUCAAACAAAUCAACUAUUAAUAACUAAGAUAAUAGGCAAGAAACAUAUCCAGAUUUUUGAAGCCUUCCCCUGUGUACAAUUAUUCUUGAUCUAAAAAGAAAUUAAAUGCAAGUCCACAAAAACAUGAUUGGCCACAAAAAACUAUUAAUAGCUAGAUCACGACUCAGAUCAGAGCAAAAUUAACCCAAAGCUGAAAAUAAACAAAAUAAUCUACAAUUAGCAUUUAAAGUAAUCCGGACAAAAACGAAAAUAGCUCCACAAGUAAACCAAAUGCCCGAUCACCAAAGCCAAAUCUAAAAUGACUCAGAUCUGCACUAAAUCACUAAAAUAACAUUAUCCUCUUCCACCUGUUACUCUCUUUCGUCUCAACAACAAAAACUCAUUAGCUUGUGAGCACAAGGGCCACACGCAUACACGAAAAAUUACAUUCAGCACUACAAUGAGAAAGGAUCACAACAAAAAUCAUAAUAGAUCUACACAAAAACCAUACAGAUAGAAAGAGAGUGAAAGAUCUGAGACAAAUCAGGUGAGUGUGAGUACCUUGAUAUGAUAUUGAAGCGAGCGAAGGAAGAAGUGAAUAGAACCAAGCGCUAACUAUUCAUUUCUCUUCUCUUCUGCUGCUUGCAGAAAGACA
RNAcentral lists this unclassified non-coding RNA (3886 nucleotides) under Hevea brasiliensis (rubber tree). Lineage: Eukaryota; Viridiplantae; Streptophyta; Magnoliopsida; Malpighiales; Euphorbiaceae. The record is from RNAcentral.